CCUACGGGAGGCAGCAGUGGGGAAUAUUGCACAAUGGGCGGAAGCCUGAUGCAGCGACGCCGCGUGAGGGAUGAAGGCCUUCGGGUUGUAAACCUCUUUCAGCAGGGACGAAGCGUGAGUGACGGUACCUGCAGAAGAAGCACCGGCUAACUACGUGCCAGCAGCCGCGGUAAUACGUAGGGUGCGAGCGUUGUCCGGAAUUACUGGGCGUAAAGAGUUCGUAGGCGGUUUGUCGCGUCGUUUGUGAAAACCCGGGGCUCAACUUCGGGCUUGCAGGCGAUACGGGCAGACUUGAGUGUUUCAGGGGAGACUGGAAUUCCUGGUGUAGCGGUGAAAUGCGCAGAUAUCAGGAGGAACACCGGUGGCGAAGGCGGGUCUCUGGGAAACAACUGACGCUGAGGAACGAAAGCGUGGGUAGCAAACAGGAUUAGAUACCCUGGUAGUCCACGCCGUAAACGGUGGGCGCUAGGUGUGGGUUCCUUCCACGGGAUCUGUGCCGUAGCUAACGCAUUAAGCGCCCC
RNAcentral lists this ribosomal RNA (521 nucleotides) under Rhodococcus sp. PDA22. RNAcentral describes it as "bacterial SSU rRNA". It matches the Rfam family "Bacterial small subunit ribosomal RNA", at positions 338 to 870 of the family's 1533-position model. Lineage: Bacteria; Bacillati; Actinomycetota; Actinomycetes; Mycobacteriales; Nocardiaceae. The record is from RNAcentral.